UACGUAGGGAGCAAGCGUUGUUCGGAUUUACUGGGCGUAAAGAGCUCGUAGGCGGUCUGUCGCGUCUGCUGUGAAAAACCCGNGGCUCAACCUCGGGCCGUGCAGUGGGUACGGGCAGACUAGAGUGCGGUAGGGAGAUUGGAAUUCCUGGUGUAGCGGUGGAAUGCGCAGAUAUCAGGAGGAACACCGAUGGCGAAGGCAGAUCUCUGGGCCGUAACUGACGCUGAGGAGCGAAAGCGUGGGGAGCGAACAGGAUUAGAAACCCGUGUA
This 270-nucleotide ribosomal RNA is filed under the name uncultured bacterium. RNAcentral describes it as "partial 16S ribosomal RNA". It matches the Rfam family "Bacterial small subunit ribosomal RNA", at positions 524 to 792 of the family's 1533-position model. The record is from RNAcentral.